This is a long non-coding RNA of Lampris incognitus (smalleye Pacific opah), 2373 nucleotides long. RefSeq lists it as uncharacterized. NCBI's taxonomy places the organism in Eukaryota, Metazoa, Chordata, Actinopteri, Lampriformes, Lampridae. The transcript is spliced from 4 exons. The record is from RefSeq and is a predicted model, not a curated record.
ACGACCAUUAGCUGGCCACCUGUGCUACGUCAACGCGACGGGACCGUCGGUCAGGAUUUUCUGCCUAGAGACAACCACGAACUAAUCAGAGCCGGCGAGCGACAGAGACAGACGGGACCUGGUAAACAACAUAGGGAUGAUGAGGUGUGUAUGAAUUUGGUGUCUUUCAAGAAGAAAGAAGAGAGGAGUGUAAAAAAUGCCUGCUAUUUGACUCUUCUCCUUUUACUGUUGUCACUAAAGUUUACUUGGAGUUGUGGGCCCCCUGAAUAGAUAUAAACUACAUUAGCUGUGAUUUGCUGAGCACGUGAGUGGCAUCAUGGGAGGUGAGCAGAGCCAUGAGAGGAAGACAGAGAUGCCUCAGGAGGAGGGAGGAGAGGAAGAAUCUCAUAACCAGCACCAGGAGUCUUCUCCUAUCUGCUGUUCACAGUCAGCUGUUUGUCAAGAGACCCCAGGAGAGCUACCCCAGCGGCAGAUGGGGAACAGGAAGGUGGAUGACAUGGGUUUCAUGAUCUCCUGCACCAACUGGUACUGAACUGAACUUGUGAGACAACGUGAAAAAAACCCCCCAAAAACUGAGAUGCCUGCUGCUCAUUAGAGUCAUUUUAAGGCUGUUCUUGAAAAAGCCAUUGGGUAAUUUGUUGGGAGCCAUUAAUUGCAGACCACUGUCAGGGCUCAGUUGUUGGAUAUCCCCUGAAACCAUUUUACCAGAAACUUCCAUUACAUUCAAGCAAUUCCAAAACUGAUAAAAUAGAAUGUAUUGUAAACAAAAAAUGCAUCUCUCUUCUGGAUGAGUUUCAUUUGCCUUAACAAUACACCAGAUUCACUGCUGAUAGAUUUUCUGCUCUCACGGCAAAUAAGAAAUUCUGUUUUCAAAUGCACUGCUGAAUAUUGGAUAUAUGCUCCAUAAAUAUAUGUGUAAUGUGCUGUGGUUAAGCUUGUUAUAUCAGAGAUAUCAUGAUAAAGAAGGCUUAUUGCUUUCACUGUUUGGUGUCAAGUUAAAUUUAACUGAUAGCAGUACAAAAUGGGCACUUGAAAAUGGUUUCAGGGGAGAUUCAAGUAAACGUAAAUAAUAGCAGAUAUUGAGAUGAAACAAUGAGCAUAUAGAAGUCAUGUGGAACACCUAGACCCUCUGCUCUCCAUGAAACAUACCAACCAGCCUUGUCACAAGCAAGAUAUGAAUUGUGUAAAAACAAGUGCAAGUCAGAAUUUGGAGGGUGUUUCAUACACUUAGUGUAAGUGUGUAUUCUUCACAUUGUUAAUUGUUGUGAAUAUCCUAGCUGUGGACAUUAUAAGACCAAACGUGUAUAGCACAAGCACACGUGUGAAAUGCUAAAAAUGCUGGAUGCUAACAUGCCCAGAAGGUGGUGGGGUUUCAACAACAAACCAAGAGGUUGUGAGUCUCAACUGAUGAGAAAUCAAUCUUUUCAACUGUCAUGACUAAAAUGAAGGCAUGUUUGUCUUUUUAAUGUGUGCCUCAUUACAUAUCAGGAUUGAUGAUAAUGUCAGAGUGAUAAAAAAAAUCUAAAUUUUUAUUUUUAUUUAUAAUUUCAUUUCCUUCGAUGUAUUUGUAAACCCAUGUUGUCCCAUUUAUUUUAACAUUCCCUUAACUCAAAAACAAAACAAAGUUGACCCUAUUACCCAUUGGCACCGAAUCAAAGCUGUGUAAAUAAUUCAGUUAUUGUGAUCUAAAAAAAAAAGUGAUGAAAGAAAUAAUUUUGAAUCUUUCAUACGUGGGAAAUAACAAAAAAAACUAUCUUACAACCGACAUAAUUCAGGAAAUCUUAUCAUAAAGUGUUUAACUAUUUUUUGGUUUGCUCCCAUAAUAAUGAGUGGGGCCACCUCUGCUCUAAAAAUCCUAGAAUUUGCCUCAAAAAUCCCUUAAAAAUCGCUUAAAGUGGCAUAGACUUACUUUCAUUUUUAGGCCCUGGCCUACUGUUGUUCAAAAUGUGCUUUAGGAAAUGCUUAGUGAUGUAGCUGUAACCCAAAGUCUGUUUUUACACUCCUGUUAAAAGCACUGAAGUAGCCGAAAUGUUAUGUUACAAUAGACAACAGAAGGCUACUGUCCUUCAGUCAGUUAAAUCCUCUGUUUCUUUAAAUGAUAUUUAUUUAAUAUGUGUACACAUGUCAAUUAGCUGGUCCAAACCUUUGCUUGAAGUGAUUGGUUGGUGUAUAUUGAUCAUGUCAGCCUGGACAGAUGUGAUCACUCUAAACAGUUUCCACUGUACCACGUACUUCACACAAAGACAUCAAUGGCUAAGCCUCAGACCCAACCAUGUUUUUGUUAUUUGGAAGAUGCCUCUCUUUCAUUAUGAACGGCUCUCUGGGAUUUGAAGUUUUGAAGACCAUUGUUGUUCAUAUUGUACAUAAACAAUA